GUUCUUUGACACAAAAAACCUAAAAAUCAGUCUGAACUCAAACUUGUAAAUCCGAAUGAAGUCCCAUUCCACAGAAAGUGUAAACAAUUCUCAAGUGUAUUUCCUGUUUCAUGCACUUUAGAAAAAAAAGUUUAAAAACAUUCACACAGCUUAUCUACAAUGCAUUUUUAAAAGCACAGAAUGGAUGCAAGCCCAAAAAAUUUCUAACCUAGGUUGUGUUUUAACAUCUCUAGGAACUUAAUCGGAAGGUGGCUGAACUCUGCGCGUAUGUGGAGACACGAACAUACCACCUGCAGCAAAGUGAUGCUAAAAGGAGAGGACAGAAACACCUAAGGUGGGCGAUAUGCCUAGUUUAUUAUAAGCUCAAGGCAAUCAUGUCUAACUACACAAAGCAAUGCUUGGAGGUGGCUGAUUUUGUGUUAGAUUGUUUUUCCAUCCCAUCUUAAUUAUCAUGUGAAUCAUCUUUGACAAAUUCAGAUAACCCAUUUGCUGCAUCUUCAGAAUCACUUAGGUAAGCCAGGAGUGCACUGUCCUCAAAGCAUUAUCUCAUAGAGCCUCUGAAUUGUCAGCUUCAUGGUUUUCCAAAGCUGGGUGGAGAGUAUUUUAGUAAAUUCUGUAACAGUUCAUUAUGCCUAUUGAAAAAAUGCAGUGGCAUAACACUGAGGCACAGACCUACUAGAUUCCAUGUGCUAGCUCUCCAACAUGGAGCCAGAUGACCUUGGGUAAGUCAUUUAAACCACUUACUCAAUUUCUUUACCUAUAAACUGAUGGCAAUACUCGAAAACUAUAAAUCACAAAAUAUUAUGACAUGUAACGAGGUAAUUUUAUACAGUCGUUGACAGAGUGGGCUAUCAAUAGGAACUCACUACCAAAUUUUCCAUACGUGGCCAAAGGGGAAAGAAAUCAUCAGCUUAUCCAUCAGUUUUUUAAAAAAUCCUUGUUAAACCUAUUACACACCCAUAGAAAUUUACAUUUGUAUUCUAACAAGUUUGGGUAAAAGAAAUCUUGAUACACGACUUAAAACAAAGACCAAAAAUGAGUUAAAAGUUCUUGAAUGCUCUUCUACAUCAUUAUAUCACAGCUAGAGGAUAGUGAUCAUCAGACGGAUGUGUUGAAUUUACUAAAGAUAUCUCAGAGAUGUAAAAAUAUAUUCUAGUGCACUAUACAUCUUUGCUACUUAAAAGCAAAAUUGAAAUUUACUCUUAACUACCCCAAAUUGAAGCACCAUUAUUAAAAACAUUUAAACUGUGGAAAUUCUAUAAAAAUUAGUCUUAAACAGAACCACAUAAAACUGUGCACUAAUACCUCUAGUGUAACAGUGUACCUUAUAUUUAAAACAAGGGACUAGUUCAGAGUCAAUGCCUUUAUUAGAAAAAGAUGAAUACUAAAACUUUCCAAUGACAGAGACAAUCAAAUCUGUAACAGAAAGUCAGAGAUACUUUAUUUUCACUUCUAAAUCCAAAGGCUAGGAAUAGCAGAGUUGUAAAAAUGGAAUCCCACUUAGUCUGAUUCACACGAAUACUAACGUUUAAUCCUGUUUUCAAAGUCCAAGAGUGAAAACUUGCAAUUAAACACUGAGCAAGCCACAUGUUUAGGUAAUAUUUCUUAAAAAGUCUUAAAGAAAAAAAUAUGAUACAUGACCUAAGUUUUCAGUGGCAUAUAUAUAUUAACACAUGUUCUGAAAUCUGGUAGGUCACAUGAGUCCUGAAUUAAUUUUUAAUAAUAAUAAUAAAAAAAAACAACUAACUGAGCUUUAUACUUUUUCUAUGCCACUAUAGUUUUCUUUCACCUCAUUUUAAUGUCGGUCUUCACUUUAUGCCGUUUUCAGUUUUCUUCCAAAAAUCUUCGAACAGUAGUCCUAUAAUGCAAAAUUUGGGGAAAAAUGAUAAUUAGACAGCAUGUAAAAGGCAAUCUUUUAUGACUAAGUGUUGGCCCAGUCACUAACUGCUAAUAAUAUAUGUAUAUGGAAUGUUUUUGUAUUCUUUUUCAUUAUCAAGGCAUCAGUGUGGUCUUAAAGCCAUGUGCCUGUGUAUACUUGCCUAUGUGGGAAUGGCUCACAUAGACAUCACAUUAUACUGCUGUCCUAGAAAAGGAAUGCCACCGAUAAAUCAACUAAUUGGUACUCCCUUUCAUUAGGAAUGUUCUAUCCCACGCCACUAGCCCAAAGAAUGAAUAGUUUGUAGGUUUUAAGAACUCUGAUAAAACCUGACUUUUAAUAGUUCUUUAAAAACCCAAAUUCAUUCUGUUUGGUUCAUCAGUUCUUUACAUUUCAGAUUGAAAAUGUCUAUCCUUGCUAUUCACUGCUGCUUUAAAUGUAUCAGCCAGCGACUAUUCCUAUAUACCUAUGGUUGACGGCAAAAUUCUCCUACACAGUAGGAAAUAUUAAACACAUACCUCUUAAAGACUUGAGAAUUGCAUUGAAUGUAACAAGGCGAAUAAUAUGAAGUGUUUAUUGUAUUUAAAAUUCUUUAAAGAUAUCUAAUUCUGGGCACCACUGCAUCCCUACAUACAGUUGAAAAAAAAUUCCAUUCUGUUAACAUUUGAUUUAUAAGUUUCACGCAAUACACAAAAAACCCCUCUGUGCUUCUUGUAAAGAACAAAAAAGAUACACAACAGUUAAGCGUAAAGAUCACAGGCAAUAGCAUUCAAACAUGGAUGUGGGUAGAGAAAGGAGUACCUGGCAUGAGUACCUGCUUAGUUUGACUGAAUCCUUGAUUUUUAAUUUGGCUUUUCAUGGGCCGCUCACAACACCAACGCUGUGUGAGGUAUGGUAGUCAGCUGCAAUAAUUCAUAAACCCUACACUUCCAUCAAUCCAAUGCUACUGGCUCUCGAGUUACAGAACAAACUGCAUUAGAAUGCAAGGCAAUAAAGCAAAAAACUAGAAACAUCCUUGACAAAGAAAUAACUAGCAGUUUAAUUAAAACAAAGUAGUCCAACAUGUGCCUCAGAAAUAUUUAAGUUUUUAAAGCAAUGUCUCUGCCAAUGUACCAACACAAGAUGGACUUAAUACCAAAAAGAAAAAAAAAAAAACAGUUCAACCUUUUUAUUUAAAAAAAUAAAAAGAAAUGA
This is a long non-coding RNA of Myotis daubentonii (Daubenton's bat), 3070 nucleotides long. RefSeq lists it as uncharacterized. The record is from RefSeq and is a predicted model, not a curated record. NCBI's taxonomy places the organism in Eukaryota, Metazoa, Chordata, Mammalia, Chiroptera, Vespertilionidae. The transcript has 2 exons.